CAGUAGCCGCGGUAAUACGUAGGGUGCAAGCGUUGUCCGGAAUUAUUGGGCGUAAAGAGCUCGUAGGCGGUUUGUCGCGUCUGCUGUGAAAUCCCGAGGCUCAACCUCGGGCUUGCAGUGGGUACGGGCAGACUAGAGUGCGGUAGGGGAGAUUGGAAUUCCUGGUGUAGCGGUGGAAUGCGCAGAUAUCAGGAGGAACACCGAUGGCGAAGGCAGAUCUCUGGGCCGUAACUGACGCUGAGGAGCGAAAGCAUGGGGAGCGAACAGGAUUAGAUACCCCUGUAGUCCCUGUCUCUUAUAC
Molecule: ribosomal RNA, 301 nt
Filed under: uncultured bacterium
Lineage: Bacteria
Description: partial 16S ribosomal RNA
Rfam family: Bacterial small subunit ribosomal RNA
Source: RNAcentral